UGCGUAGGCGGUUUGGUAAGUCAGAUGUGAAAUUCCUGGGCUCAACCGAGGAACUGCAUUUGAUACUGCCAGACUAGAGUACUGGAGAGGAGACUGGAAUUCACGGUGUAGCAGUGAAAUGCGUAGAUAUCGUGAGGAAGGCCAGUGGCGAAGGCGAGUCUCUGGACAGUAACUGACGCUGAGGCACGAAGGCUAGGGGAGCAAACG
This 207-nucleotide ribosomal RNA is filed under the name uncultured bacterium. RNAcentral's name for it is "partial 16S ribosomal RNA". It matches the Rfam family "Bacterial small subunit ribosomal RNA", at positions 568 to 774 of the family's 1533-position model. The record is from RNAcentral.